AGACAGUGUUUUAUGGAACGCUGCGUUUGGCUCUGACUAUUGAUAUCCUUUUGAAACCCACUCAAGUCCCUCUCAUCUUCGAACGGCGUCGUAACCCAUUCUCCCCGCGCCGUCUUCUUCUUCUAACCGUCACCGCCGCAUUGCUAUCGAUCUCCGACUCUACUUCGUUUCCACCGGCUUUACUCAUCUCCGCUCCCUCCUUUCUCCGAUUCAACCUUCACUCACAUCUCCGCUUUGCAUUUGAUUCACAACCUCCGUCUCGGCUUCGUUCUCAUCUCUCUUGCGAUUCCGGAUUCAGCGCAACACUAAAUCGAUCGGAGAAACCGAAGAAAAAAGAGGAAAACACGAAGGCUUACUUGCAACGAUCUGGAAAAUGA
Non-coding RNA from Vicia faba (fava bean), 377 nucleotides. NCBI's taxonomy places the organism in Eukaryota, Viridiplantae, Streptophyta, Magnoliopsida, Fabales, Fabaceae. The record is from the annotation of a GenBank genome assembly.